This 3035-nucleotide long non-coding RNA is filed under the name Triticum aestivum (bread wheat). Its description in RNAcentral is "long non-coding RNA (TAES_LNC013632)". Lineage: Eukaryota; Viridiplantae; Streptophyta; Magnoliopsida; Poales; Poaceae. The record is from RNAcentral.
GCAUGUUUGGCAGCUACAGCAGCUUGAUAAUUAAUUAGUUCUCAUCCAAGGUGAUUUACUUCUCCCCUUUCUUUUCCAAGAGGCAAAUAAUUGUCUGCUAAUUAGCAGCUUGGUUAUUUUCUAUCUCAAUUGUGAUUGUCAUCUUUGCCCUGCUGCUUAGUUCUGCUCCCUGCUGUGACUAUAUUUUGCGAGGCACUAAUAAGCAACAAUUGCACAAGGUCUAUGCCAGAACUAUCUUAGAUUAGGCACUAUUUCUUUUGUACUUGUCUAGCAUUUGAAGAGUCCAUAUGUGAGUGGAUCUCCUUUUGCUUUGUCAUGCUACUGAAUGUCUGAACCCAUUUUUUGGGAAUAAUAAUAUAUAUGACAAGAAACCAUUUAUUCUCUCUCUGUCAAUAUUGAUAUGAGCUGUGCAUAUUUUUGGUUGUCAGUGAUAUAUGAUUUGUAAUUUCUAAUUGAUCCGUUCAAUUAUUUGAGAUAUCAUCAGUACAAAGCAUAUGUUCUAAACAAGAGCUCUUUUACAGUGAUUGUAGAGUUACGAUUUGUAAUUUCAUGUAACUCCAACUCUGAAUUUUUCUGGCCAUUGGAUCUCGAAAAAUCAUUUAAAGAAUUAUUUUUUCUCUAAAAGGGUAUAAUAGUAACCGAAUCUCUCGUCCGUUUCCGUUCCAAUUCUCCUCGCAUAGCCGCCGCCGCACAUCCCGCUCGUAGAUGGCUAGGCGGUGCGCUGUUCGGAUCAUCCCCGCGCGGCGGACCCGAUCCAAGCGAGAAGCAGCAAUCCGGUAUCUUGGUGUCGCUCCUGCCGUCAAUGUUCCGGCCGGCCGGCAGUACUGCAGGUCGUACAUCGCGGCACCGAAGCCUCGGCUAGUCGGCUGCCCCACCGCCCCCAACCUGCCAGGAUCUCUCUCCACCGUACGUCGGAUACCCUACUGCCUGAGUCAGCGCCGCCGGCGACCUUCCCUCCCACUACAGGUAACUUGCAUACGUGUUGUACUAGCUCUUCUGAUCCUCAUGUUUGCGCGACGGCUGUCCCAUGGUGUGAUUGCCACUCAACAACGCCCAACCAGCUGUUAGUUCAGAGGAAUACACUUGCCUGUACGCUCUAGUAGUACAACUCUGUUUUUUUGCCUGUUCACAAAUCUGAACAUAUUAUGUUCAUGCUUACUGUGGUGAACUGGUGAUUAGCAUACUCAUGUCUUUUCCCACGAAAAAAAGAAUACUCAUGUAUUGGGUUGUGCUCACAAUUAAGCUCUCCCCUGCGACAUGAUGAAGAUGUAUGGUUUAUGCCCUGGGGGAUGUUUGAUAAAAUGUAAUCCUCUUUAGUUCAGAUAUAUUGAUUUCAGCACCUGAUUAGGGCGAUUUACCAGUUGUAUGAAUUGUUGGCAUGCAUGAUUAGAGUAGCUGUGAGAGUCCAAAUCUGAAAUCUAGCUUGCUUUAUGACGGAAAAUUAAAUAAGUAUACUGAGAGCAAGCUUAUGACUUCUCUAGAUCAUGGAAACAUCUACUUAGCAUAAUCACCUAGUCCUUGGGGUGCUUUCGUUGGUGGUGUGGUGUGAAAGUUAUUAUCGGCAUGCGCUGCGUCGCUUGUGAGGCCUUUUCGGGCAUGUAUCGAACCUAUUUGCUUUUGUUCCCAAUCUUUAACCUCUGGAAUUUGCCGAAUUUUCUUUUUGUUUGUUAGGUUGAAGAGCUAUUGUUUCAGUUCGUCCAUGACCCUUAUGGGGCUGUGGGGGAUGUUGCACUCAGAGAACUUGUUUCUUGCAGUAGUAGGAUGAACUGGAUCAGAUAUUGGAAGUGGUACUGUCACAUAUCCUGGCAUCUGCUCAGGUAUGACUGGUUUUGAAUUUGGGACCUUAUACUUUAUGAAUUGUAAUAUGUAUUCUGAUAUAACUGUUAUAUUUAAGCGUUGUCAUUUGCCCCAUACUGAUUAAAAACGACAACAAACGACAGUUCUAAUUAUGUUUUCGCAUGUCCACAAUUCAAGUUAAUCAACCUUGGUGAAACUUGAACAUGUAGCUUCCAACCAGCUUAAGGAAAAGGUGUGCUGCCAAUUUCCCGAGCCUUAUUCUAAUCCAUAAUUUUCACUCAAAUCACUUGAUUCAUAUUCGUAAUUUAGUGCCCAUAUAUUUUAUUUUCUGUUAUCACUGAAACUGUGUGUGUUCGCCCUCUGAAAAAAUUUACUGGUCCAUAUCCAUGAUAUCUUGGUACAUGAUGUUGUUAUCCAAAACAAGACAGAAGAUAUUUGCAUUAGUAAAUUUAUAGUUCUAGCUGAUGGAUUGUCCAAAGGAGAAAAAUUUAGUUUAAAUAACAACACUUAUGUGGAUGUUUCUUAUUGGCUAGUUUUGACAUGGAGAGCUACAUCUGAUUUUUCCUACUUGUAUUUCUAUUCCAUUAUACUUUUCAGGAGCACGUGAAGCUCGCAUGUCAUUGUACUAAGAACUAUAUUUCACAUAACUAUACUAACUUGACGCAAUUUCAGCCUGCAGCAUGGCACAUGAGUCUUCGACAUCAUUGAGGAUUUCUGCAUCGGCAAAUUGGAAGACUGAUGUGGAAUAGGAGAGGAUGUAAAAGCUCCCAAGUGUGAACCCAUGUGCUCGUCUGCAUUUCCUUGAAGAUGAUGAGAACGAACAAAACCAUUUCGUAAUUGUGAUGAGGACUGCUCCAGGGCCCAGCUUUGUGGUUCCGAUCACAUGUUUGACCUCCUGCUUACUCUGGUACAUGGUCUCCAUCCACCCAUCGUCAACAUAUGGCCUCGCCGGAUCGCCAGACAACACCGUCAUCUACGUCUGUCUCGCGUGACAGGCACUGUCCUCGACCUCUGCGUCACAGUUAAUUGUGUACUAGUAAUUCCUUUGGGGAACUUGUUACAGUUAUUCUAACUCCGCCAUGUAUCCAUGAACUUGUUAGAUUCUGAAUAUGUAAUUUUCCAGACAGUCGGGUAGCAUUCAAGUGCUCCGUAUGCGCCAACACUCUCAAAAUUCACUUCCUUUUCUGCUCUUUUGCUCCCUGAGACACAACUCUGACUGACUUAUUCAUGUCUUAGAG